RNAcentral lists this ribosomal RNA (253 nucleotides) under uncultured bacterium. RNAcentral's name for it is "partial 16S ribosomal RNA". It matches the Rfam family "Bacterial small subunit ribosomal RNA", at positions 524 to 776 of the family's 1533-position model. The record is from RNAcentral.
UACGUAGGGCGCAAGCGUUGUCCGGAAUUAUUGGGCGUAAAGAGCUCGUAGGCGGCCUGUUACGUCUGCUGUGAAAUCCCGGGGCUUAACCCCGGGCGUGCAGUGGAUACGGGCAGGCUGGAGGCAGGCAGGGGAGAACGGAAUUCCCGGUGUAGCGGUGAAAUGCGCAGAUAUCGGGAGGAACACCGGUGGCGAAGGCGGGUCUCUGGGCCGAAACUGACGCUGAGGAGCGAAAGCGUGGGGAGCGAACAGG